GCAGGAUCCGUUCCGGUGCUGGUGGAAAGGGACCAGAACGGAUUCGUUGGGUGAUCUCCGCGCCCUUCCCGGGGCGCGGGUGUCCUACAGCCGUUCGGCGUCUGGGAGUUCCCGCUCUCAGGCGCCGUCG
RNAcentral lists this non-coding RNA (130 nucleotides) under Streptomyces dysideae. RNAcentral describes it as "Streptomyces sp. RV15 Streptomyces RNA 6925". It matches the Rfam family "Streptomyces RNA 6925". From Rfam's summary of the family: Identified by deep sequencing of transcriptome at the end of exponential growth phase. Sequencing size consistent with northern blot size. Streptomyces specific. Lineage: Bacteria; Bacillati; Actinomycetota; Actinomycetes; Kitasatosporales; Streptomycetaceae. The record is from Rfam by way of RNAcentral.